Molecule: long non-coding RNA, 220 nt
Filed under: Elaeis guineensis (African oil palm)
Lineage: Eukaryota; Viridiplantae; Streptophyta; Magnoliopsida; Arecales; Arecaceae
Description: long non-coding RNA (EGUI_LNC033152)
Source: RNAcentral
GUGGAGAUCAGCAUGGAGAUGCAUAUUAAUCUUUGAUCGUGAUCGAGGAGCGCACAUGGAGAUCAGUAUGGAGAUACGUAUCAAUCCUCGACCAUAGUUGAGGAGCACAUGUAAAGAUCAGCAUGGAGAUGCGUAUCGAUCUUCGACCGUAGCUGAGGAUUGCGUGCGAAGAUCAGUACGGAGACAUGUACCGAUCCUCGACUGUAGUCGAGGAGCAUGC